AGAUCGUAGCUGCUUUUAUUGCCAGCCCAGCAAUUUGUGUACAAGAGUCUGUUGUUCUGCCAGGCAUGCUAGAUGCCCAACUGAGGACAGCAGUGGAAAAUUCACUGCAGAUGUUUGAGAUUUUACCAGAGCAUUUGCUUUGCAGAAGUUGGUAGUUAUUAUUUGUGCUGUUGUUGCUGUUGUAACGAAGACAUGUUUUUGGAUGAAGAAAUUUCAAGAAUCGCCAUGAAAUGUUUUUUUCUAUUAAAUUUACCUCACCUGAGCCAACCGCUCACAGCUGGGGUGUUG
Molecule: long non-coding RNA, 288 nt
Organism: Mercenaria mercenaria
Lineage: Eukaryota; Metazoa; Mollusca; Bivalvia; Venerida; Veneridae
Exons: 4
Source: RefSeq, a predicted model, not a curated record